This 409-nucleotide ribosomal RNA is filed under the name uncultured bacterium. Its description in RNAcentral is "partial 16S ribosomal RNA". It matches the Rfam family "Bacterial small subunit ribosomal RNA", at positions 338 to 744 of the family's 1533-position model. The record is from RNAcentral.
CCUACGGGAGGCAGCAGUGAGGAAUAUUGGUCAAUGGACGAGAGUCUGAACCAGCCAAGUAGCGUGAAGGAUGACUGCCCUAUGGGUUGUAAACUUCUUUUAUAUGGGAAUAAAAUGUUCCACGUGUGGGAUUUUGUAGGUACCAUAUGAAUAAGGAUCGGCUAACUCCGUGCCAGCAGCCGCGGUAAUACGGAGGAUCCGAGCGUUAUCCGGAUUUAUUGGGUUUAAAGGGAGCGUAGGUGGAUUGUUAAGGCACUUGGGAAAGUUUGCGGGUCAACCGUAAAAUUGAAGUUGAAACUGGCAGUCCUGAGGUCAGUAGGGGGUAGCCGGAGUCGUGGUGGUGCGGUUAAAUGCUUAGAUAUCACGAAGAACUCCGAUUGGGAAGGCAGCUCACUGGACUGCAACUGAC